RNAcentral lists this long non-coding RNA (30685 nucleotides) under Triticum aestivum (bread wheat). Its description in RNAcentral is "long non-coding RNA (TAES_LNC004541)". The stretch from base 23374 to 23508 matches the Rfam family "MIR1120/MIR1122 microRNA precursor family". Lineage: Eukaryota; Viridiplantae; Streptophyta; Magnoliopsida; Poales; Poaceae. The record is from RNAcentral.
UGAAGCUGAGUUGAUCGCCACCGUGACCCGGAGUUGGUAGAGAUCGGCCUGUGAUCUGUUGCCGUGUCGUUAGAAUAAAAGUCGUGUGCGGUUGGUGAUGUGUCCGUGAGUGUGUGUUUAGUUUCUGUCCUGUCGUUGUGUCCUGCUAUGGCGAGCUAUCCGAUGUAAUAAGCAUUUGGCACUUGUGCUUGUUUUUCAAACCAUGGAUCGUGAUGAGAACCUCUGUACUGUGGUGCAAUCCUUUCAUCUAUGCGAAUGGUCUUUAUUGUCUACUCGUAUAUCUUAAUCGGUGCGGUUUUCUGGAACCUGCCUACACCAGAUUAAGCAAAAACAAUUAAAAAUACUAAAGAAAUCUGCAAAUAUGAAACUUUACCGUAACAAGCAAUGUCUACUGUAUGUCGAGGUGUGUUUUCGUAUCUAUACUAAACCUAUCCUACAGCGACCCGAUCCUAAACCUAUCCUACGGCGGCGGCGCCCGACGUCCUUCGUCCAUCGUAGAAGGACUGACCCACAUGGAACACAAGGCCUUGUCGCCUUUCAUGCCUUGCUCAUUCUUGCAGGAGUCCGCGCCGUGAGGUCCAUGAUGGAAAUGGUGUCGCUCGCCCUGUUGUCGUCCCACCUUGCUGCCGGAUAGUUCGUCGGCAACGCAUAGGAGGCGCAACUGGUGUUGUUCUCCUUCGCGAUCCCCUGGAGCUGGGCCUCGAUGACGGCCGCUUCCUGGCGAGCGACGGCUUCAGCGCGGACGACAUCGUAGAUGGCACGCUGCUCCGCGACGAAAUUGGGGUUCGCAUCGGCCAUAGUCGCCACGGCCUCCUCGCUCGCCGCAGAUCUGGCCCUCCGUCAGCCGGUGCUGCUCCAGGAGGAACAGGUUAUACCGUUGUUCCUCCUGCGCCCGCUGGACGCCGAAAGGCGCUGACGCAAGCUGCAUCUCCGUCAUGGCGGCAUUGUAGUGCUCUUGCGCAUGCUCCAUGGUGAAGCCGGCGUGCACAGGAGGUGCUGGAGCCGGGGCGGUGUCGUCGGAGCCCGUCUUCAUCGUGGUGUCGUCCUCGUCAUCGGACACCUCGGGAGAGCUGGCCGGCAAACCGGUCUCGAUCCGCCUGGCACGGGGGCAGCAAGGGCGGCCACCACGUGCUUCAUCUCAGUGGAAAGGUUCUCCCACAAAGCUUCGCCAAGCUUCGCCGCUUGCAGUCAUGGCAGAUGCAAUGCAAGGGAGUAGGAUGUGGAGCGGCUUGUCUUGGCAUAGAGUUGGUCGGGUGUGGCCGCCUUUAAAUAGCGAAUUUCAGUGAGACCAACCGUUCGGGUGCGUCAAUGCGCAGCGGCGGAGUGGGUUUCACAGCCGUUAAGCCUAUUUAAUGGCGGCUUACGGACGGACGGGCCAUUCAACGGGCGUGGUAGAUAUCCGUCCCGUCCCAUCCAGUAAUGCGUCUUCGGCAUUGAACAGGCGCAAACGUGUCGCGGGUUGUGCCCUCGUCCGGCGUGCCGUUUCAAUGACGGUGGCAAUGAGAGGUCGCGUCCAUCCUGAGCCGUUUUUAAUGUGGUGUGGUGCGCGCGACAGCGGAAUGAAUGUGGACAGCUGGCGCCGGACGGGAACACGCACGGCGAGGAAGGAGGGGGUUUGGGUGGACCAGGCGGUCAGAAGCGGGUGUGGCAGCGGUCCGAACUCUCGCAAAACUCCCCAUGGUUGUCUUCGGUUUGCAGAAAAAAAAACAUCUGCAGAUCGCUCUACGGAUCAAUACAGGUCCGCGAUAGCUUCUACGAUGAAGAUGCAAUUGUGCUAGCCUGACCGAGUGAUGCACACAAUCUUUGACCGAUAUUGAUUUACUAUUUAAAAGUUCAUGUAAAAACAAUAAAGUUCAUAAGAAAAUGCCAUACAUGGCUGCCCCAACGGUAAAUAUAAAAAACACAGAAAUUAUUUUUUCAUGCAUCUUAAAUCCUAGUAGGUUGCUAACAAUUCGAUUGAACAAAUUUCGAGAGAGAUCAUCUCCCGUCGAAAACCGUGGGCGCCUUAUCCUCCUCUUUUUGUAGCAAUGACUACAUAUGGGAUGCCCUGAAAAUAAGUUGUAAUUUUUUGGAACAAAAUUAUUACAAGUGUUUCAAAUGGCCCAAUGCGUGUAAAUUCUCAGAAACUUCAACUUUGGAUGCACCCUCACUAAUCACUUUUCAAACAUAUUCAUACUACUUGUGGGUGGAGGUAGACUAAAAGCUAUAUGGACGUAUCACCAUAAUAAUUUGGCAAGCGAGCAGAAGGAAUAAAAGGCCGGAUGAACUCCUCAUCCCAACAAAAGCAACACCUAGUGCAUUCUUGCCAAUUCUUUUCUCCAGACUAGGUAAUUGUCCGUGCGUUGCAAUGGGGAUAAGAAAAAAAGUAUGGAUGCACUAAUUAAAGGGUCGUCAUAUUUUUACAUAAGCAUCACAGUUCUACGAUUUCCACCCACCCACCUUGUGCCGAGCACCCUCGUAUAUACUCAUCCUCCUUACCACCCACCAUCCCAUUCCACACGACAAGUAGACAAGGCAUCCCUUUUUCCUCUCUCCCCACCCUUUACUGGACAUUAUUUUUAAUUAUCCGACAUGCAAAAAUCAAUAAAUCAUUCAUCUCAAACAUGUAUUUGUAGGAUCUUCGUGCACAUCAAACAACACUGUCCACUAUUGUUUUACGUUAAAUCACUCUUCUUCGAGUAGGCUAAGCAGUCUCAGUGGAGUAACUUCGCCCCUUGUCCCUCCAAAGCAGGUCCAUGCAGCUAAGCAACCCUUGACACGCGAAAAAGAAAACACAGAGGAAAACAUGCAACCAAACAAGGUCUCGCAGGACAAAAUAACCUGGUGACUUGUGUGAGUGCCUACAAAAAAAUCAUGUGCAGGAAGGAGAGGGGGAUGGUGGAUAGAAGAACCAUCAUUAUAUCAACCUACCAUUCAAAGCUCAAAGAAGUUUUUAGGAAGAAUACAAAAUAUAAGUAAAUCUCAAUAGGUAAAGUUAAUGGCAAGGUACAUCGUUUUUCUUUCAAAAGGAAUAUCCACGGCCCAUCAUUUGUGAUGCACACAUCCAUCUUUUAUUGAAUAAAAUUCAAAUGUUCAAGGGAUUUAGAAUAAUAGAAAAGGAAAAAACUACAACCUCUAGCAAAAAAGGAUUACAUGACACGUUCACAUAAUUUACUAAAGAAGCUGUGUAAUGUUAUAACACACACACCGAAGGUAAUAAAGAAAACAAAAUACCCCCUACUUUCCACCAAUUGUAACAAUCUUUGAAGUCAUUAUUAACAAACUAAAAGGCUUUGGCCUAUGCAUUCAAUUGUUCUACAUGAAUAAAGGGUUGUCAUUGCGUACAAUUUGAUGUGUGCAAAUAAUAUACAUUUUAUAAUCAUGACACAAUCUAAAUCCUAAUAGCACUGGUAGCUUCAACUUGAGAAUUGAUGGGAGUUAUAAUAUGGCUUUGAAGGCAAAUACCAGCUCCUUGCUAUAGUUCUUCCUUGCAACCUGCACCAAAACCGACAUGGCAAACACAACUUUGAAGCCCACAACCAUGACACCACUUUUGCAAGUUGCUCAAAACACGAACUCGUUUGCAUAGAACAUCCAUUUCUCUAGUGGACAUUUCCUGUACUCAAUAUUCCACCAACUUCUGUAGAUUUGGAACCAAAAAAACCAAGCUAUCUUGCUUCUACUAAACCAAGAACGGAGAAACACCUAAUCAACAUGUUGACUACUUUCCUUGGACUGCUAAUAUCUUGUUAUCUUGUUAGCGUAUCAAGAUUUUAGAUAAUAUGAACAGAAAUAUCACUAACAACAUAAUUUCGGGAGGAACAUAUAUUGUGUUACUAUUGAUGUGCGUACCCGAUGGUGGUGAAAAAACUUGUAGUGAAAGUGUAAAAACACAAUAGCAAGCAAGUAUUCCCUACCCCUACUAAUUAGAAGAGGAAUAACAAAUCAUUAAAUAUAAAUUUUAAUGAUUAAAUAAACAAGAAACUCUAUGGGUCAUGCCUAUGUAAAGUGAAUAGUUUUUUUGGAAAGGAUCCCACAACCCCUGUCAUUAUACCUUGACUCUAAAGCUUAAGCCUUGUUUUCAGCAUGUCAACUCGACAUACCAUGCCUUUUCCAAAUGCGUCUACAGUCGAUAUGAUGCAUCGAUUGUUAUUUUGCCAUGUCUUGAACUAAACAGAUAUGUUUGCUUACAUAAGCAUGUUACUGCAUAACCACAAAACCCAAUGCAAGGCAAUAAGCAACAAUAACAUGAGUAAAAGAACUACGUUCUAGAAAACUUGACAUACUGGGAAAGUCACUUCUCAGCCUGAGCUGAAAUGAGCUCGGGUGAACAGUCAAAUUGAAUUUAUUUAAAAAAAAUCUAAUUUUCUUAUGACGAACAUUGAAAAAUGUUCUAAGAGCUUGCAAAAUUUCAUCAUGGAAUCACAUUUGAGGUUGUCGCGACAGUAAAAAUUCAGUAUUCUAAAAUGCUUUCAAACGUAGCAUUUUUAGAGUAUCGGUUUUAUUUUUUGCCACGCCUUCCAGGAAUGUGAUUCCAUGAUGAAAUUUUGCAAGCCCGUAGAACAAUUGUCAAAAAUAAUUCAGAAUUUUUUAAUGUGUUUUGAUUUUUUUUAUUUUACCGUUCACCUGGGCUCAUUUGAGCUUGGCUGAGAAACUCCGCGUCCGACAUACUGUUCAUCUUAUAGCACACCCCACCACAUAGCAUUUUCCAUUUGAAGCAUUUUGCAUUUCUUGUAAAUUUUGAAGGCUGAGUUGCACUUAGCUGCACACAUGAAGGCGACAAUGGUGCCAGGGAUGCUAUGACCACAAAUUCCAGGAAUACCAGCAGUAAUGUGGUGAUGAAUUCAAACUCCCAUUGAUCCAUCAUUCCAUAUCAAAAGUCUUAACUUAUGUAGUACAUAACCAUUAUGGCAUACCUUCCACUAGGAAAAAGUAUGAAUGUACAAAAAAGUAGAUAAAAUAUUUAGAAUUUUCACAACCGCAUCUCUUAGUUUUGAUCCACACAUUGUUGGCUACGCAUGUUUUGUGAAAAAAGUAUGGAUAUUGGGAUGGAAUUCUAUAUGCAUGCUGACAUGUGUCUCUUUAUACAUAAAGUCAAUGGCGGAAUUCAGAAUCUGAAGGAAAGACAAUGCUAGAUUUUAGGCAGUCAUGACAAGAUGCAAAUUAAGCUCAAAGCAAGUCGUAUUCAAACACAAAUUAGUUCCUUUCAAGCCUUUUCUCAAAGCAAGAAGGCAUGUUUGAGGAACUCCAUUUUUAUUUUAUUUGGGGAAAGAAACUGUUUCCUUGAUAAUCAUCAGAAAUCACACAUAUAACAAUUCCAUCAACCAUUGCAGAUCUACUCAAUCUCAGAACCGUGCUGAUUCUUGCAAGACAAACUAGUUUUUGAAAUGCAUGAAUAUAUUUGCAAUUUCAUAAUAAUUUUUUGACUGAACAAACCUUUUUGAAGCAUUGAUUUUCGAAAUUUGAGAACAAUUUCUGAAGUGGUGAACUUUUUUCAAAUUUUGGUGAACAUAUUAAAUAAAUUCAUGCCAACAUUUUCAAAUUCGCCAACAUUUGUUUCAAAUUCAUGAACAUUUUUUGCAUAUGUUAACUUUUUUUCGAAAUUGUGAACAUUGUUUGAUUUCCCGUUUUUUUAAAUCAAAAUCAUGACUAUUUUCUUGAAUUCCGAACAUUUUAUGAGGUUCUGAAUAUUCUUUUAGUUUUUGAAAUUUUUUCAAAAACAUCAUCUUUUUUUAUUUCCCUAAUGUGUUUUACAAUUAGGAACUUUUUGAAUUCCUUAAUAAAUUUGAACAUAAAAAUACGAAAAACAAAAACCGGAAUGAAGGGAGGAGCUGCGGGUGCGCGCGCUGUGUGUCCAGCCUGUUAUGCGGAAAAGAAAACCCUAUUUGCCGCUCUUUGCAAUAAGUUGUUGCGGUUUCGCAUAAACGAGCGAGCGACCUUUCGGGGUGGGCCGACCCGUUUAGAGUUGCAGCGAUACCGGUUUUGGGAACAUUUUAUGAUGUUUCUAGCCUAUUUAUUCUCGUUUAGGGAACGUUUUAUCUUUUUCAUUUAAUAUUUUUCUCUUCUUUUUCGUUUUUUUCAUUUUUUCCUUUUCUUGCCUUUUUUCUUUUCUUCCACCUUUUCAUUUUUCUUUUUCAAAAUUAUUUUCAGUUUUUCAACAAAUGUUCCGGAAUUUAGGAAAUGUUUGAAUUUUCCUAAUUUUGUUCACAUUUUAGAAAAAUGGUUCUGUUUUCAAAUUUUGUUCAGAAAUUUAAAAAAAGUUCGGUAUUUCAAAAAUUAUUUGCCUGUUUUCAGAAAAUGAUUGCAUUUUAAAAUUUUGUUCACAAACUAAAAACUCAAGGAUUUCAAAAGCUUGUUCCCAUUAUUCAAAAUUUGUACGCACAUUCAUAAAAUGUUCAUGCUUUUUAAUUUGUUCACAAACUCAGAAUAUGUUUGCAUUUUAAAAAUAUUUGGAAAUAAAAAUGUUCCCGUUUUUCAAAAUUUUCACAAAUUAAACAAAAUGUUAUGUUUUCGAAAUUGGUUCACGAAUUAAAAAAUUGUUCAUGUUUGCAAUUUUUUUACCAAAUCAGAAAAUCUCCGGGGGGAAUUUUGAUGCUUUUUAUUUUUGUAAAAAUUGUUCAUAAUUUCGAAGAAAACGUUCAUGUUUUCUCUUUUGUUUAUUGAUUUUCAAAAAAUGUUUACAAAAGUUUAUGUUGGAAAUUUCGCGAACUGGUUUUGAAGUUUUGUCGCCGCUGUUAGGUUCUUUAAGAUUCGUGUUGUAGUUCUUUCAGAUGGGGACUUGGUCUCGGUGGCUAGCGCAGCGUUUGCAUCUUCACGAGAUGGUGGGUUCGAUCCCUAACUUGAACUGUUUUGCGAAAUUUUACCGCGCCAAGCGAAUGCACCUCUAAUGGGCCGACCCAGGGUAAGCUGCGCCCUGUGCGAAGCCGCGAUGCCCGAUGGAGCCCAAAGUGUGCUCUAUGGGCCGGCCCCUUUAGCGAAUAUUUUUUUCGCCCGCUGUUCUCACCUGGUUUUUAUGGUUAUCUGUAGUGUUGACCACGUUUAUAGUUGACUUUUAGCGGACUAUUAUGUAUAUGAAAAAAAGUUUGUGGAUAUGAAAAGGUUUAUUUUCUAAAAUAAAACCUCAAAUUUGAAAAAAACAUUCAUAAUUUUGAUAAAGUUCAUGAAUUAAAAAAACACAAUUUCGAAAAGAAUCAUGAUUUUGGACAAAUUUAAUAAUUAGUGGGAAGUGAUUCUGUUCGGCCGGCUGAAAACGCGUCGCGCGUCCACCACCUUCUCUAAGCUACACAUGUCUAUGUUGGCCCAUGAACUUUAUCUCCUCCCCUUCCCAAUCUUAUCGCACCUUCUUUCUUCUUCAAAGGUACUACACACCUGCAACGACCAUGGCUAGAUGGAGCGCGCGUGUGUGCUACGGGGUGCGGCCGUGGCUGGGCUGCACACGCGCGGCGCAGAGGGCCCGCCCUGAGCUUGUGCUUCUCCAUGUACAUGGCCAUGGUGUCCAGGCUCGAAUAUAGAGAUGCCUUUUUGUUUUGCAACAACGCCUUUUGAUGUGGCUUUUUGCAACAUCUGCAAUGUUACAAAUGUCGGCGACGAAUGACGGUUGUGGUUUUGCGACAUGCAUCGACAAUGGUAGCAGUGCUUCUGCACAUCAUUUCGUUGCAAAAAUUUCUACAACAUUCCCUAUGCAGCUAAAGUUCUUCCGCAACAUCAGUGGUGUUGUGAAAAAAAGUGAGAAAAAAAUCUGCAACAUGUCCUCUGUUGCAAAAGUUUUGUGCAACAUGAGCUAAUGGGCCGGCCCAGGGUAAGCUGCGCCCUGUGCGAAGCCGCGAUGCCCGAUGGAGCUCAAAGUGUGCUGUAUGGGCCGGCCCCUUUAGCGAAUAUUUUUUUCGCCCGCUGUUCUCACCUGGUUUUUAUGGUUAUCUGUAGUGUUGACCACGUUUAUAGUUGACUUUUAGCAGACUAUUAUGGAUAUAUAAAAAAGUUGUGGAUAUGAAAAGGUUUAUUUUCUAAAAUAAAACCUCAAAUUUGAAAAAAAAACAUUCAUAAUUUUGAUAAAGUUCAUGAAUUAAAAAAACACAAUUUCGAAAAGAAUCAUGAUUUUGGACAAAUUUAAUAAUUAGUGGGAAGUGAUUCUGUUCGGCCGGCUGAAAACGCGUCGCGCGUCCACCACCUUCUCUAAGCUACACGUGUCUAUGUUGGCCCAUGAACUUUAUCUCCUCCCCUUCCCAAUCUUAUCGCACCUUCUUUCUUCUUCAAAGGUACUACACACCUGCAACGGCCAUGGCUAGAUGGAGCGCGUGUGUGUGCUACGGGGUGCGGCCGCGGCUGGGCUGCACACGCGCGGCGCAGAGGGCCCGCCCUGAGCUUGUGCUUCUCCAUGUACAUGGCCAUGGUGUCCGGGCUCGAAUAUAGAGAUGCCUUUUUGUUUUGCAACAAUGCCUUUUGAUGUGGCUUUUUGCAACAUCUGCAAUGUUACAAAUGUCGGCGACGAAUGACGGUUGUGGUUUUGCGACAUGCAUCGACAAUGGUAGCAGUGCUUCUGCACAUCAUUUUCGUUGCAAAAAUUUCUACAACAUUCCCUAUGUAGCUAAAGUUCUUCCGCAACAUCAGUGGUGUUGUGAAAAAAAGUGAGGAAAAAAAUCCGCAACAUGUCCUGUGUUGCAAAAGUUUUGUGCAACAUGAGCUAUGUUAUAAAAGGUUUCUGCAACAAGACUUUUAUUGCAAAAGUAGAGGAUGACAGUCAGCCGCUAGAUUGUUCUAUAUCUGAUGGUGCACGAGGCGGCGAAUCUUUAUAAAAAAAAUCCGCCGGCCAAUGCAUAGCACUCCCCAUAAUUAGUAAGAAUUUCACAAAUUUUGAAAAAGUUCAUGGCGCGAACUGUUUUUGCAAAAUUUUACCUCACGAAUCGAAGACACCGCAAAUGGGACGGUCUAGGGUAAGUUGUCCCCUGUGUGUCACAUCCCUAGUUCUGGUAUGACCUAGACUAGCUACUCAUGUGUGCAUCAUGUUUAAAUUUCAAUGAAUUUGAAAUGGGGACAUGUGAAAGCCUCAGAAAUCAUUUCUGAAAAUGACCAAGAUAAAAAUUGCUUCAAAUAGGUCUAAGAAAAUGUUCAUGUUUCUCUAUGAAAAUAUUGGACAGAGGUAAAAUUCAAACCAAUAUUUUCAGAAGCUCAUCAAUAUUUAUUUUGGACAUUUGAGUUAAUUCAAUAAUUGUUUGCAUUGGAGUUAUAUUUGUUAUAUAUUAAAUAUAACUCCAAUAACUCUGAAAGUUGGUAAGUGGCUUUGAAUACUUUUUAAAUGGCCACAUAGUAAUUUUCAGAAGUUUAUGAAAUGAUCUGGUAUUUAAAUAAAAUCAAAACCAAUUGCAGAAAAUAGAAAACAUAAAUAAAUAGAAAACCAGAGAGAGAGAAAACCUACCUGGCGCCUACCUGUGCGGCCUGCUGCUCAAGCCGGCCCAGCCCAUCUCCACCUCCCCUGUCGUCUUCCUCCUUUUGCCAGGAGGACGAAGGGCGCGUGCCCAGCCCGCGACACCACACGCCGGCGGGGUUGACCCUCUUUAACCGAGGUUUGACCUAUUGGGGAUCGUUGCAGAAAUUAAAACAUUUCUACGCAUCACCAAGAUCAAUCUAUGGAGAAACUAGCAACGAGAGAGAGGGGAGUGCAUCUUCAUACCCUUGAAGAUCGUGAUGCGGAAGCGUUACAAGAACGCGGAUGAAGGAGUCGUACUCGCAGCGAUUCAGAUCGCGGUUGAUUCCGAUCUAAGCGCCGAACAACGGCGCCUCCGCGUUCAACACACGUACAGUCCGGGGACGUCUCUUCCUUCUUGAUCCAGCAAGGGAAGAGGAGAAGUUGAGGGAGAGCUCCGGCAGCACGACGGCGUGGUGGUGGAGCUUGCAGUUCUCCGGCAGGGCUUCGCCAAGCACUACGGAGGAGGAGGAGGUGUUGGGGAGGGAGAGGGCUGGGCCAGCGGAAGGGGUGCGGCUCCCAUGCGCCUCCCCACUAUAUAUUGGGGUGGAGGGGGCUAGUUACUUGCCCUCCAAGUCCAUUGGGGCGUUGGCAAAGGUGGGGGAAAGAAAUCUCAUCAUUUCCCUUCCCCACCGAUUGUUAUCCCCCUUUUUUAGGGAUCUUGAUCUUAUCCCUUCGGGAUAUGAUCUUAUUCCUUCUAAGGGGGGAUCUUGGUGCGCCUUGACCAGGGGUGUGGGGCCUUGCCCCCACUACCCACGUUCAUGUGGGUCCCCCGUGCAGGUGGGCCCCACUCCGGAACCUUCUAGAACCUUCCCGGUACAAUACCGAAAAAUCCCGAACAAUUUCCGGUGGCCAAAAUAGGACUCUCAUAUAUAAAUCUUUACCUCCGGACCAUUCCGGAACUCCUCGUGACGUCCGAGAUCUCAUCCGGGACUCCGAACAACAUUCGGUAACUGCACACUAAUUCCCAUAACAACUCUAGCGUCACCGAACCUUAAGUGUGUAGACCCUACGGGUUCGGGAAUCAUGCAGACAUGACCGAGACAGCUCUCUGGCCAAUAACCAACAGCGGGAUCUGGAUACCCAUGUUGGCUCCCACAUGUUCCACGAUGAUCUCAUCGGAUGAACCACGAUGUCAGGGAUUCAAUCAAUCCUGUAUACAAUUCCUUUGUCAAUCGGUACGUUACUUGCCCGAGAUUCGAUCGUCGGUAUCCCAAUACCUCGUUCAAUCUGGUUACCGGUAAUUCACUUUAGUCGUUUUGUAAUGCAUGAUCCCGCGACUAACUACUUAGUCACAUUGAGCUCAUUACGAUGAUGCAUUACUGAGUGGGCCCAGAGAUACCUCUCCGUCAUACGGAGCGACAAAUCCCAGUCUCAAUUCGUGCCAACCCAACAGACACUUUCAGAUAUACCUGUAGUGUACCUUUAUAGCCACCCAGUUACGUUGUGAUGUUUGGUACACCCAAAGCAUUCCUACGGUAUCCAGGAGUUGCACAAUCUCAUGGUCUAAGGAAAUGAUACUUGACAUUAGAAAAGCUUCUAGCAAACGAACUAUACGAUCUUGUGCUAUGCUUAGGAUUGGGUCUUUUCCAUCACAUCAUUCUCCUAAUGAUGUGAUCCCGUUAUCAACGACAUCCAAUGUCCAUGGUCAGGAAACCGUAACCAUCUAUUGAUCAACGAGCUAGUCGACUAGAGGCUCACUAGGGACAUGUUUCGGUCUAUGUAUUCACACAUGUAUUACGAUUUCCGGAUAACACAAUUAUAGCAUGAACAAUAGACAAUUAUCAUGAACAAGGAAAUACAAUAAUAACCAUUUUAUUAUUGCCUCUAGGGCAUAUUUCCAACAUGACCUCCCCUGGCUCACUGACGUGUGGGCCCAAGGCCCUGACUAAUUAGUGUUAGGAUUAAAUUAGGGUUAGCUAACUUGGUUAACUAGAUGUGACACUCACAUGCGGGUCCCAUUAGUCAGUUUGACCUGGCCAGCGUCUGUUGAGUUGCUGAUGUCACACUAAUGUCAGGCUGACACAGUAAAUCAUUUUCUGUAUUAAAAGUAAUUCAGAAAUUCCAGAAAAUAGUUAAAAAAUUUAAAAAUCAUAGAAAAUAAUCUAUAGCUCAGAAUGAAAAGAUUUAUAUAUGAAAAAUUAUCAGAAAAAUCCAAUCUAUCUGUUUAUGGCAUUUUCAUGCAUGUUUGAACAACUUAUUCCUGCUGAUCAGGUCAAAUCAAUUAAAUGGCAUUUAAACAAUUACAUAUGGAGUUUGAUUUUAAACCUAGGGUUCAAACCAACUUCAUUUAAAUCGUUGCUAGUUGCAUUAGCUCAAAGCAGAGCAUGUUGCCAUGUCAUGAUCAUGCAUCAUAUUGUUGCAUUGCAUUGAUUGUGUUUAUUCUUUGUUUGUCGGUGCUUGUCCCCUCUUAGUAGACGAGGUUCCGACGAUGAGUUCGAUGACACCGAUGAAGAGCUAUACUAUCUUCAGAAGUGCCAGGCAAGCAAAACCCCCUUGUUCAUUCCGAUACAAACCCACUCUAUCGCUUCUGCUCUCUUUUACUGCAUUAGGACAACAACGAUUCAACGGUUACAUGUUGCAGUAGUUGAACCCCUUUCCUCUGCAUGACCUGUCAUUGCCACAGUAAAUAGGUGAAACCCACUAGCAUGAGUAGGAGUUGUUUGAGCCCUGAUGUGCCUACUCAUUCAUGCUUGUUGUCAUGCCUGCUACUGCUUAGAUUUGAGUCAGGUCUGAUUCAUCGGGGAUGAAUUGGUAUGUGGUGAACAUGUCCUACUGUUGAGAGCUAAGUGUGUGAACACGAUUUGGUAAAGGUAGCGGUGAGAUGCCAUGUCGGAGUACAUGGUGGGUUGUCUCAUUGAAACCGUCCUCAGGAACUGAGUUCUGUGUUUGUGAUCCAUGAACAGCUACUACCACACGUUGGGCCCUGAAAUAUGACCCCGCUCGACUUAUUAACCCCCAUGUCCUCUGUCCAGGAGUUGCAAGUAGUUUCUGGUGUUUGUACUAUGCUGGAGGUCGUGCGCAGCGCUGACCCGAGGGGUGGGCUGUGAUGCGGUAGGCACAUGGCACGGUGUACCGGGAUGCCCGUUUGGUGCCUCGAGAACCCUGCACACAUUGUUCGGGGCUGUAAGUGGAAACCUCGGCCGGACUCCCUUCGGAUGGAACCUGAAUAGGCGAUAAACCUCGAAUAGGGACUUGUGUGGUUAGUCAGGUCAUGGUCUACACCCACGUCGGCUUUCGCUUGAAGUCCGCCGAGCACAUGUCGUGUGUAGACGCUAAGUGGUGGAAACAUGUGUGAAGAAGUACACCCCUGCAGGGUUAUAAAUGAUCUAUUCGAAUAGCCGCGUCUGCGGUAAAGGACCUCUGGGUUGCCUAUACAGUUCAUAGACAAGUGAAAGUGGAUACUCUAAAAUGCGCAAGAUAAGCGUGAGUACUAUGGAUGGCGUUCUUGUAGGAAGACGGGAGCGGACCCAUAGUGGUGUAUUGAUUGGUGAAUAUGUGGAAUCGUGUGCGCCACCUCAAAAGAGUUACUUGCAGUCCUAGUUUAGGAUAGCUACCGAGUCAAAGCUGGCUUGCUGCAGUUAAACUCCACUACCCCUUUGUUGAUACCGAUGCAUAUGUAGUUAGUUCUGAUGUAAGUCUUGCUGGGUACAUUUGUACUCACGUUUGCUUAAUUUAUAUUUUUGCAGAGAGACUUCAGUCUCGCUAGUAGUUCCGUGUGGACUUCGACGUUUAGCUUGUUAACUCAGCUACGAUCUUGUGCCCUCGACAGGGUCUUGUAGAUAGUCAGGCUUCUCAGCCUUUUCUUUUGUAGUUGUCUGUACUCAGACAAGUUAAGCUUCCGCUUGUGCUUGUUGCUUGUAUGACUUGAAUGCUGGGUCAUCAGACCCAUGUUUGUAAUACUUGGCUCCUCGAAGCCUAAUAAAUAAAUACUUUGAGUCAUAGAGUUAUGUUGUGAUGCCAUGUUGUAUUUGCACACAUCGAGCAUAUUGUGUAUAUGAUUUGAAAUGCUUGGUAUGUGUGGGAUCCGACAACCUAGUUGUUUAUCCUUGGUAACCUCUCUUACUGGGAAAUGUCUCCUAGUGCUUCCACUGAGCCAUGGUAGCUUGCUACUGCUCCGGAACACUUAGGCUAGCCGGCAUGUGUCCUUCUUCGUUCCUGUGCGUGUCCCUUCGGGGAAAUGUCACGCGGUGUCUACCGGAGUCCUGUUAGUCUGCUACAACCGGAUUCUCCGGAGUCAUGUUAGCCUAGCUGCUACAACCCGGAUUCACUCGCUGAUGACCGACACAUUCGUUGCUGGGUCAUGUAUGCCUGUCCCUGUAAGUUAGUGCCACUUUGAGUUUACGACUAGUCAUGUCGGACCGGGUUCUUUGUCAUAUGGAUGCUAGCGACACUAUCAUAUACGUGAGCCAAAAGGCGCAAACGGUCCCGGGCCAGGUAAGGUGGCACCCGUGGGAAUACCGUGUGUGAGGCCGCAAAGUGAUAUGAUGUGUUACAUGCUAGAUCGGUGUGAUUUAGGACCGGGGUCCUGACACUGUGCGAAGCCGCGAUGACCUAUAGAGCCCGAAGGCUGCUGUAUGGGUCGGCCCCUGUAGCGAAUGUUUUUUUCGCCCACUAUUCUCACCUGGGUUUUUAUGGUUGAUCUGUAGAGUUGACGUUUACAGUGGACUUUUAAGAGAAUAUUAUGGAUAUCAAAAAGGUUUGCAGAUUUGAAAAAAUUGUUUUUUAAAUAAAACCUUCAUAAGUUCGAUAAAGUUCAUGAAUUUGAAAAAAUAUCACAAUUUUGGAAAAAAAUACGAAUUUGGAAAAUUUCAACAAUUGUGAAAAAUUCACAAAACUUAAAUAAGUUCAAAAUUUUGAAAAACUUCAGAAAUUUGGGAAGGUUUGCGGAGUAAAAAAAUUCACUAAUUUCAAAACAUAAUAACCAAAUAAAACCGAAGAAAACCCGGUUUUGAAAACAAAAAUAAAAUAAUAGAAAAUAGGCCGGAAGCUCUCAAAAGUUUCCCAGAACUAGGAGAGAGCUUCCCCGCUCGAGCGCUCGUGUUACUUAUAUGGGCUGGCCCAUUUGUAGUCUAUCAGUGGUUCGGGUUGUGUGUUGUGUACGAUUAAGCCUAUAACUGAUGCUAUGGGUGCCAAAUAGGAAUUUCCUCUAACCCGCAACAAGCAAGAUAUAGCUUUUGCGGCCCUGCGAUGUUAGGCAGACCAAUUAUCAUGAAAUUGUAAAAGGACUUGAAAACACAAAAAUGUUCGCCACCCAGAAAGAAAAUGCACGAAGAAACUUAGACUAGUUACAUAGCACGACCCAAAUAACACCAACAAAUCUACCCCGUCCUGAAUCUCUACACCUUAGAUUUGUGCUCAUGGAAUUAACUAAUAUUUAACUAAAGACAACUGUAACGACAGGCGCUUAUUGUGUGGACACUAAUACAAAUAAGAUAUGAAUAUUAUAAAAUUACCUGCCCUCUCUCUCAGGACGGGACACUAAUUAUAGAUGCAACACCGUCGUUCGACCGGUGUAUUCGCUGCAAACCUUGUACGGAAAAGGGCAACCAUCGUUGACAUUAAUGCUACAUAUACGGGCUUUUUGUUUACACAGGAUUACAGAGGAGGUGAUUUGGACGCGUACUAUUAGUUGGUGGAUGGGCCCUUCACCAGAAAUUCAGAGAGGAGAGACUAUUGACAAAUUACACACUGUCUGCGGUAUAACAACCCCGUAAAGCCAUGUACAUUUAGGAUUACUAGCACCAAUGCCCGUGGGUUGCAACGGGAAAAAACAACGAUUCGUAUAAACCACGUUGCCGAGCUGAGAAACUGUAUCGUGGGACAAUGAUCGCCGAUGAGAAAAAGGCGUUGAAUCAUUUGAGGACGACAACAAUCAAACCAACCUAGAAUAACAAUUGCAACACCAACAUCAGCAAGCAAACCAACCUAGAUGGAAACUAAUUCAGGAAAACUUCCAUAAUUUAACAUAUCUACUUGGUCAAAUGCAACUUUAUCAUGCAAACCUAAAAAGUUUAGUAAAUAAUCAGUCAUUGACUUCACAUGGAAUUAAAUUGCAUAUGUAGGUAAACUGUAAUUGCGGCCAAUGAAUUGCGGACUCUAGAUGGAAGUAGCAAAACCCACAUGGAAGCAAGCAAAGAAAUCAUCUAAACAAAGGUGGGAAAAAAAGAGUGUGGAUAAAAAUCACUGGUGGAAGACUUACCUUUGGUUCGAGGGUUAGUGGAUACAGUCAGAUAUUUUAUGUACUUUUUUGUUUUGUAAUCCAGUCACAUGUAAUCGAUCGAUUUUAUUAUAACAGCUAUGUUUUUGGAGUCUCCUGUGAGAGAACCCGUGUUGCCAUAUAUGCAUGCCCCACAAGAAUCUGUAGCCAUUCAUUUAAUUAACUCGUCAUUAUGAUUAGCCAAUCAUAAUUAUCUGCGUCAUGCACGUCUCUCAGAAAUUGCCAUAUACUCUGUUUAAUUAGCCCAACAUUAAUUAGCCAAUCAUAAUUAUAUGCAGUAUGAUGUCUCGUCUCUUGGGAAUCCCACUCAAUUAGCCCACCGUUAAUUACCUUAAUCUGUUUUAUUAGCCCACCAUUAAUUAACCAAUCAUAAUUAUAUGCAUCAUGUAUCUCUCUCGGGAAUCCCAUUCAAUUAGCCACCUUUAAUUACCUCAUUCUCUUCCUUCCUUAUCUCUUUUUCUCACGUUUUUUCUUUCCUUAUUAUCUCUGGGCCACGUUGUUCGAAAUCACAAAUCCUCUCAAUCUUUCCUUAUUGAAACCCAACACGUAGGACACGACCGAUGAGCGAUUACAAAAGAGAACUGUCCGCUUUUCUUUCAGGCAACAGGUGCUAAAUUGGUUGGUUAACGCGUGCGGGCCUAUAUCUCGCCAACCCGGGUUCGAUUCCCAUCUAGCACAAUUUAUCUUUUGGAAGCAACGUACACACAAAUGGGCGGUGUGUCAAAAAAAACCACAACGUACGAAAGUGCAAACGACCGACAAAAGGAGGACGGCGUACAAAAACACUAAUGGACAAAAAAUAGUGGAGAAACAAUUCAUCCUUUAAUACUCCCUCCGUCCCAUAAUAUAGGUAAGAUAAAGAUAAAGAUUUCCUGACUAUGGGAUCGAAACUACAACUACCAAAGAGUGACCUCUGUUUUAAACCCUGAGGUAGAACUACAAUUAGGUAAGAUGAAAUUGGUACCCUCAACUUGCUGAUCCCGAUCAAUUUGGACCUUAGAUCCGUUUGCUGCACCGGGAAAAAGAAGAUCCAGGCCGGGAUCAGUCGCUACUCUCACUGAGGCGGGGCAAGUUGGUGCUUGAGGGAAGGGCCAGGAUGAUGGGCCUCGAGGCGGAGGCGGCGCGGCGACGCGCCUAGGAGGGUCACUUACGCAUUGCGAUUGCGGCCGCCCGCCGCCGUACGGUGCGAGGUGGCGGCUCCCUGCGUCCACGUGCUCCGGUGGCUCAAGGCGUGCGCGCGCGAUGAAAGGAAGAUGCCGGACCCUCCCGUGGACGCCGAGGUGCAAGUGCCCAUGAGACAACGCCAGUGCGUGACCGCGGCCACCGGGAGGAUUCGCUGACUAGCCGUGCUCGGUUCCUACGUGCCUCCCCCACCACCGCGUCGUCCUGACUCGCGCAUGGCACAGGACCGUCAUCUACAACAAUCGGCAUUCUAAGGCGCACCCACACCGAGCCAAAGCCAUGGACCGACGGACGGGGUUGCAGCUCAGGUGGCUAGCAGCUGGGGUGCGGGUUGGCGUGCACGGCACGCGCGUACAACACGCAAAGAGCGGCUUAACUACAGGGGUUAGUGCACGCAGAGAGAGAAAGAAAUUGGAAUAGGGGUGGUGAGCGUGCACUGCGUGGCCAUCGCGUGCUCAGCGCGGCAUGCACUCUGACGGACUACUCCUAGAGAAAUCAAUCAACCUGUAUGUUUGCUUCCGAGCAACUCUAGUUUUGAACAUAUGUCUAUCUACUAUCAUUAAUCGAUCUAGAAUCCUAAGUUCCUAACAGCAACAACGUCUUGGCGAUGGAGGCCGUCCAUGAAGCCGAUCGAAACGUGCGGCAUUCGCCUUGGCCUCCACCGACGGCAUGUGCAAGGUCGGGAGCAUCGUAGAUGGCCACAUCCCCGUCGCUUCUGUUGUCGCACGCAGACGAGCGGUUCGCACGAGCUCGUUUCGGGAGCUGGCUAUGUGAUCGGUAAGAGACAGGGAGGGGAAAGAGAUCGAGGAAGGAGUAUAUGGCAGGUAGGCCCGUGUGGUCAGUGAGACAAACAAGGGAUCCCGGACAGGAUUGUCCUUCCAAACAGGUCUAGGGGCGGUUUAGGGUUAUAAUUGAUCGGGAUCGAUGAGGUCAGGGUACCAACUUCAGGGAUUUAGAGGUGAAGGUUUAUUUCCGUCGUGGUCUACAAUCUCAGGGUUAAAAACAGACUUCACUGGUUGACAAUUACCUGGCGCCAUCCACUAGCGCCCAAUGAUGGAGAUGGCCAAAUACAUACCUAAUUGACAAUUACCAAAUAUGAGAAAAACAUGCACUCCUUUUAAUUUAUCUAUAUUCUUAUAAAUUUUUAUUUAUUACCACCCCUUAAAAAAUAUUGAAAUGACUCAGACAACACAAACAAGCAAACCCAAUGGUUGGGUGCUCUGUUCAGACUGUAGGAUUCUACGGCAGGGCGGGUCGACUACAAAUUAAAAAUUUCUACCCACAGAACAUCCAGGAACACACUACAAGAGAUGGAUCACGGAUCGUUACCACUAGACGUGCAAUGCCGUGCAGCAGAAGUAGAUUUGGGGCAGCGCGUCUCCGGAGUCGUCUCCGCCUCGAUCUCCCAGGUAGCCGAUCGGAUCGCAUGAACAGGUUCGACGGAGCGGCACAAGUAUACCGCCUCUAACGGUAUCCGCACGUGCAGGAGGAACACCGUGCGGCGGACUGCUAGUUCCAUCUGCUAGUUCCAUCAAACAGCCGACAGCGAGUGGAGGUGGCUAGUUGCAACACAUGCAAGGCCCUAGUGGAGACGCCACAGCAAUCAACUGAAACGGUAUGUCGCACCUCCACUAUAUAUAGGCAUCCGUCCCGGGCUCAACACUUGGGCCUUGCAUGGAUUCUAAAGCCCAAAGUUUGUUCGGCAUGGAUCCUAGUCCGAGUGGGAUCACAUCUGACUCGUGGAGUCGGAUCCAGCCUUACAGGUUCCUUCACUUAAGUGCGCGACCCCUUAGGUUCAAGUCAUCUUGGUCGCAGGUUGGAUCACCUCCGACUUGCUCGGUUGGUAGCGGCAUCUAGCAAGGCGUGACGACCACCAAGUAGACAAUGAAGCCGGUUGGCUUACCUGUACAACAUGUCACACUUCUAUUCUCUUUGCCACACGAUAUAUGUUGUCGGGCUCAAGGCGAGUCGGUCAUCUUUGUACUAGCCCGACCUAUUUCUCGUUCUAGUGAUGCCGACAACGAACCGGAUUAUCUCAUAAUCCUUGUCGCAUGGCCAUGCUUAUCCAGGUUGAAUCACACGAGGGCCCCAGAGUAUAUCUCUCCUGAUUGGAGGGGCAAAUCCCAUCUUGCUCGACCAUGUCUCGUAGCAUGGGUCUGGACAAGUCGAAAAUCUACAUUUAUAACUACCCAGUUAUGGAGUAGCGUUUGGUUGGCCAAAGCAGGUCUGUCACCAUCCCGAGUACAUGCGCCAGCUCAGGUGUUAGGACAUAGAAUGUAUGUUGUACUAGGGACUCACAUAUGACCUAUCGCCGCAUAUCAUAGUCGGGUCUGUACAACUUGGACCUUAUCUGGAUCGUAUGUCGAAUCCGACCAGAUCUUUGUGAGUCCAUACUAUCCGGAUAGCAUCCAAUUCUCCAUGGCCAAUGAGACCAAGCCAUCCACCGUGUCAUAUGCUAGUCUAGUCGGCUGUGCGUGCAGACAACCCUUUCGACUAGGGACUUUUUAAGGCAGUCAUCAUAUAAUGCCUAGUCCCACAAACAAGUCAUGUGCUUGCUGAUACACAUCAUUGAUAAUGUCCAAGAACUAUCUUUAUUCACAAACACAUAGGAAGAAGCAUCAUACAUGAUUUCCACUAGGGCAUAUCUCCAAUAGUCUCUCACUUACACUAGAGUCAAUCAAAUAGACAUUUAAUUCCCAUAGCUCUGACGUGCCCCUCAUGCUUGGGUUGUGGAAGCGACUUAGUGAACGGUUCCGCAACAUUUCCAUCCAUGUGAAUUUUGCAUAACUCUAUAUCACCACUCUUUUACGAUCUUCUGCAUGAGGUGAUAUUUUCAAUCUAUGUGUUUGGUCUUGUGGUGGUUCCUCGGCUCCUUGACUUGUGCGAUGGAACCAAAACUAUUACAAUAAAGGUCCAGUGGUUUUACCAUUGCUGGAAAAAUACCAAGAACAUUCAGAAAGUUCAAGAUCCAAGCACCUUCCUUUGCAGCUUCACAAACCACUAACGACCACAACACCCGCGGGGAGAGGGGUCACAUAUUCGCGGGCACAACCCGGACUGAGCCCACCAUCACCUACCCGGAGUGAAAACUCUAACCCGCCUCGGGCCCUAAUCAGAUCUGCCCGAGCACGGACCCCAAGUCCAGGUCAUCUCCGUCGCGCAAGCAGCGGGCGCCACCGACGUGGACCCAAGAGAAGGGAGGAACCACUACCAUGCACACCACGCUGUCAACCGCCACCGCCCGAGCCACCAUGACCACAUCGACGACCGCUGCAACCACGCCCCUGGCCUGCCGCAGCCAGCUGAGGCCGCUAGACCGAGCCACCACGAGCAAGGACUACUACUUCGGAGCCCCCACCAUGCAAUCAUCGUCGCAGCAGAGGCCGACCUGUGCUGCCCAUGACCCUCGUUAGAGAGGCAGCUACCUGUCAGAUUUCGCCGAGGCCCCACUACCGCCACAACCACCUCCGGGCGCUCCACUACCCACCACGCGGCCUAUGCCACAACCGUCGCACAGGCGCCCGCCACUACACCUACACGCCGGCCCCUGCACGCGAGGGGACGAGGAAGCCCCGCUGCCGCCGGCUCCAGUCGAGCUUUGCCCACCUGAGUCCUGUGGCCGCGGCUAGGGAGGAGGGGCGGGGAACCUGGUGGCGGCAGACUAGGGUUACCUCCCGGCUGCCGCGGGAGGCGUUGGAGGAAAGAGAAUCUCCGAUCAUAUUACCAUUCACCGCCAAAUUUGUUUAUCAUUAUCACCCAUCUUAAAAAAUACUGAAAAUGUCUGUAUUACCACUUUUGAUACAGGCAGAGAAGAUGCGCGGGCUGGCGCAGUCAAUUUCCGGCAGCCAGUCGAGUCUCAUCAGUUGCAAGAAGGUAAAUGUUCGAACUAUAUAUGCCGGUAGCGGAAAGAAGCUUUAUAUAACACCUCACCUAUGCUUAGUGCGACGCACGAUCAUAGUACUGCCACCCCACUAAAGACUGAAAGUACGUGUAUGCCACAACCAUGCAACAGUCGAGCAACCAAACAGCCAGAGCCUCUCUUUUAUGAAAUGGCUUCCAUCGAUGUCUCAUUCUACAUCUUUUGUGGCAGCCCGUGUGAGGUAACGCAACAAACCAACAGAUCAGCCCGUGUAAACUCCGCGUCUUCCCCACGAUGACAACCUCGUCUCGAUCGUCUCAUCGUCCCUCCUGCAUGACGCGCCGCCUUCUGACGCCAUGCAAGCGAGCCCUCGCGCGGCUCUUCCGCAUCCCGGCCUCCGCCGCCCUCUCUAUCAGGGCCUUCCGGUUCCGCAAUCUCCGCAAGUCCACCGCCAAGAUGAGCCCCCGCCACCGGCGCCGUGCCGGCCGAAGCUUCCGCUCGGUCCGCGCGGUGUUCUGGCCGUUAAUCCCUCCGUCUUCCACGCCGGCAACCUCGACAGAGAGCCAUACCGCGCGCAGGGUAGUUGCUGCGGCGGUGCCAGAGGUGCCGGUGCCGUCGCCAGAGACGCCUGCGUAUGUGAAGAUGGUGGCGCGGCUGCGGUCGAGGACGACCACGCGAAUUGGAGAGGACAAAGAGGAGGCAUGCCAGAGUUUUGAGAGCUGCCUGAUGGGGAUUUUGACGGAGGAAGGCAAAGCGCGGGACCUGCAGGACGUGGAGGAACUCCUACAGUGCUGGGAGCGGCUCAAGUCGCCGGUGUUCGUCGAUCUGGUCUGCCGGUUCUACGGCGAUCUGUGCAAGGACUUAUUCUCCUCCGCCGCCGGGGGUGAGAACGGCGGAAACACUAACCAGGACGUGGGACCAGUUUCCAUGUCGGCUGCUUUACUAGUGUAACUCGUUACCACAUCGUGUUGUAAGUUCGUAACACAAAACACUUAAUUUUACAGUUUACGCUAUGAUGGCCUUCCCUGAAAAAAAAUAUCGUAAUGGAUGUCUGGAUGGCGACGUGCAAUGGCCUGAGCUGAGCUCGAGAGCUAUGUCUCAUUUGAGACGGUAGCUUCGGGAGCAACUCGUUGACGAGCGUUUCUUCGGGAGUCUCCCAACGAUAAUUUUGGAUGGGCUGAGAGCACAUCACUUCACGCGUUGUCAUCCGCCGUCACGUGUCACGCUUUGGAUGUUUUCUCUAAUUUAUUUAUUUAUUUAUUUCACGUGUUUUCGGCUUUUUAGACUGUUUAUUUUCUGGGUUUUCUCGGCUUUUUCGUUUUUCAUCGGUCUUACUUAGCUUUUAGACAAAAAAUGAUUUUUUAUUUUACUUUUCAUGGAAAAACUUUUUUCUUCUUUCACGAGAGGCAUGAUUUUGAUUCGGCAUGAAGCACGAAUUUGCUUUCGCAAGAGGCAUGACCGUGCCUCUUCCGAACAAAAAAUAUAUUUUCUUCUUCUUUUCCCUUCCCGAGAUUAGAUAAUGCAUGACGAGGACUUGACUCUUGACUUACACAAGAACUUUAAGAAAGAAGAAAAGCUUGAAUUAUCCGAAAUGACAAGCUCCCACGGUUUUGCUUCUGUGAGAGGCACGGUUUUGCUUCCAUGAUAGACACAUCUGUGUCUCUUGGAAACGAAAAAACACGUUUUCUCUUCUUUUUUUUCCUUCCGUGAGAGGCACGGUUUUAUUUUUGCGAGAGGGGCGGCUUUGCUUUCGUGAGAGGCACGGUCAUGCCUCUCGGAAACAAAAAAAAACACGUUAUUUAUUUAUUUUUUCCUUUCACGAGAGGCAUGGUUUUUCGUGAUUUUUUUUUCGUUAAAACCUACCAACAUGGGAUUUAGUUUUGAAGAUCUCGAUGCGAGGAAUCAAACGGUGAAAACAGUUUAAGAUUUGGACGCACAGUUUAAAAGAUAAAAUAUUUUGAAUAAACGAAUUUAGAACUAAAAAGAAAAAACAUUCAAGUUGUGACAAAUGAUACACAUUCAACGUAUCACUUGUCACAAACUAAAGAAAUAAUAGUGAUCUUUGAAAAAGACUACUCCUCAUUGAUUUCCGCUAGGUUCUCUUGUCUGACCCAGCCGGCCCAUCUUUCUUUCGAUUACUGGCACCCGAAGCUCACUCAUGAGCGAUUGCUUCGCUGUUUUCAAUUUUUUUUCUUUUCUUCUCUGCUUUUUUAUAUUUUUCCCACCAGAUUUCUUUGUUACGGUUCUUUUUAAUUUUUCUGCUUUCUUUGUUUUUUCGUCGCUUUUUUUCAUUUUUUCUCAAUUUCCAUCGGUUUUUCAUUUUUUUAUUUCUUUCUUUCGCUGCUUUUAAUGGUUCUUUUGCUUUUCUUUGUUUCUUUCUUGAUUUUCAUCGGUUUUCUUUAUGUUAUUUGUUUCUUUUUCGGUUUUCUUUGUUUCAUUCUUUUACAUUCAUUUCUUCAGUUUCUCUUUUUUUGGUUUUUAUUUUUUUUAGUUUUUCUUUGUUUCUUUGUUGAUUUUCACCUGUUUCUGUUUUGUUCAGUAUGUCUUAACAUUUUUCGUACACAUUCAACAUUUUUUUAUACAUCAAAAAUAUUUUUUCAUAUACAUGUUUAACAUUUUAAAAUACAUGGUUAAGAUUUUUUAUGUCUAUCUUUUCUCCAAACACAUACAUUUUUGGUACUCCCUCCGAUCCGUAUUAUUUGCCUUAUAUUUUUCUAGAUAUGAAUGUAUGUAACACUAAAACAUGUCUAAAUACAUCCGUCUCUACACAAAUAUAAGACAAGUAAUAUAUAUUGGAGGGAGUAUAUAUCAAAUACAAUUUUUCUGAUACACAUGUAACAUCUUUCAAAUACAAGUUUAACAUUUUUUUAAUACAUGAUCAAUAUUUUUUGUACACAUAUAACACUUUCUUCAAAUACUUGAUUAACAUUUUUUAAUAUAUUGACAACUUUUUUUCUACACAUAGUAAUCAUUUUUCAAAUGCUUGAUUAACAUUUUUCGAAUACAAGGUUAACAAUAUUUUUAAUAUAUGGUCAACUUUUUUUCCUCGAUACAUUUAACAUUUUUAAAUGCUUGCUUAAUUUUUCUGAAUACUUAUUGAACAGUUUCUCAAAUUCUUGAUUAAAUUUUCUGAAAUACAGGAUUAAUUUUUUCACACACAUUGUAUAAUUUUUUAUAUAUAUGAGAAACAUUUGCUAUAUACAUAUUUAACAUUUUUCAAAUGCUUUUUUUAAUGUUAUAUGUAAAUUGUUUUUUAAUAUGUUUAUUCCAAAUAUUUUUGAAGUAUAGACAAAAGUAGAAAAAGAAAGCAAAAAACAAACACAAAAAAUGUGAAAAAGUGAGGUUAUGGCUCCCGCGCGCCUAGGCCGGCCCAUCUUGCGCUGACCUUCAUGUGAUAGUUCGCUAUGUCGCGCCCUAGGCUGAGUGAGAUGAGUGGUGGGAGGAUGGACCUGUUGAGGUAAAUUCGGUAGAAUUAGUGAAAUAUGUUUUUAGAGGUCAUCAUCUAACUAACUUUGAUAGCCUAAACAAUCUUAACUAAAUUUGGUUAGUGACCACUAGCAAUUGAGAUCAUUCCCAAAAAUAAAACAUUCUAAAAAAGUUAGCAACCAAAUUAUCAAGGACUUAAUGGUGAUGUACAUAACCUUUUGGCCAAUUAUAAGGCCAAUUUGGCAUGCAAAAAGCAAGUUCAUUCACGAGGACAUCCAUCAUAGCCCCUAUCGACUUUUGCUUUUGUACAAAAUUUCCUACAAGAACUAGAGAUCAUGAAGUAUCCCAAAAUUAGCUCUAAGCCUAGGUUGUCCUCCACACCAAGCAUGUGCACUAGCCACCAGGCAUUAGGCCGACCCGAUCUCCUCUUACCACCGCCUUCCUGACAACCCCUUAUCACCUCCUUCCUCCAUGCCACCACCAUCGUUGACGCCUAUCUCGACUUGGACACGAACUCUCCUCGAGCAUGCUCCAAUGGGGUGCCCUACACAGACUCCUUGGCUAAUUCCACACACCAAAGGCACAUAAAAAGGUUUUGAAUCCCUUGACCAAAAGCCAAGCUCAACUGUGAGUUCCUGUGCAAAACGUUUCCCAUCUGAAGCAUCAUAUCUCACCAUUCCACCGUUUUUGCCAGGACUCCCUUCCACCCAAGGUAUGUCGUUCAGUGCCUUCAAGUGUUGAUACACAUAAUCCAGUCAUCCAUCAUGUCGGCUUAGUUUUUCUUUAAUUACAACAUCGCUCUUUAUGCAUUCAUUUGUGUGUGUGUGGGGGGGGCAUGCACUUGAUGCAGGUGAGAUGCUGGUGAUUCCCACCAUUACUACAAGUAAGUACGUGUAAGGGUAGGGAAGGGUCUUCAUUGGCGAGGAGGAGAGGCAACGUGAGUGAAUUUUAGACUAGGGGGCAGGAGUGUGGAUGAUGCAUACACCAUGUGUAAAUGAGAUUAGGGUGGCUGCCACCAUCAUGAUGAGCCCAUGAAAAUACAAGGUGGUGCAGGGAGAAGGUCAUGAAGGUAGCUUGCUGUGUAAUGAUCGAGAUAAUUGCAAUGGUAUUAAUCACGUUCGUUGUGAAGAGGUGAACAACGUCGCCGCCAUCGGCACUGUGACGAAGAGAAGAAAGGGAAACACAAAUGGCUCGCUAGGGACAUGUUUAUCCCGAUGAAAAGCACGUGCACAUCUCUUAGUGCAAUAUAUAUUGCCACGGAAGCGAGCUAAACUAAGCCAGCCCACUGUUGCGUUUGGUUUUCGGAGUACUUUGUUUACUAUCGAUUCAGUUAUUUUCGGAUCCGGGUUUGGUCGUUUUCCACGGGAAUUGGUUUUCCACAAUAGCAUAAGUAUCCGGCUUUCUACAUUUUUCUUUGCGUUUUCUUGAUUUUUGUUCUUUUUUCUUCUUCUUAUUUUUUUGUUUUCAUCUGUUUUUACUUUUUGAUACAUGUCGAAAAUUAUCUAAAUACACAUUAAGCAUUACGAAAUACAUGCAAACAUUUUUUGAAUGCAUGCUUGACUUUUUGGUACAUGUUGAAUAUUUUUAAACAAACUAUAAAUAUUUCUCAAAUAAUGUUGAACAUUCUGAAAUGAAGGAUGAAUAAUUUUAAAUACAUCAUUUAAAAUGAGUAAGCACUUUCUUCCAAUUUCAGUGACAAAUGUGACAUUUUCUAAUUUUAAUUUGUUAGAAAAUAAAAAUAAAAUGAGAAAAUCAGAGAAGACCGGACCAAAAAAUCAUGUAAAACUGGUAGAAAACUGCAUGUAGAAACCAACUAGAAAAAUCGCUAGAAAUCCAUGACUAGGCCGGCACAGGUGGAUCACCCGUUGGCGAGUGCUAUAUAUCGCUUGUAGCUUGAUGUUGUGACUCAGAUAGAAGACACGUUAAGGCCAACGCCAUUUAUGGAGCUGAGCAUGUUCUCUAACCUCGUGAUCCUUGUGGGUGUGUGGCGAGGUGAAUCCCUCCUAUUUGACGCUCAUUGGUUCAAAGUGUCAGGGUUUCACACAGGGCCUGGAGUCAUGGGCCAAAUCCAAUACGGUGGUUGGGCAAGCAAUGUUUCUCGUAUCUUUUUUCAAUAGCCUUUUGUUUGUUUUUGAUAUUUUCGAGUGUGCUCUUUUGCUUUUCUUCUGUAGGUUUGUUCAUUUAUCUGCCAUCAUUUUUCCUUUGCCGGGUUCCAAUUUUUUGCUUUUAUUUAUUUAAUUUUAAUAUUUUUUCAUUUCUCCUUCUCAUUUUGUACAUAUAUUCUAUAUAUCUGAAAUUGUUCAUGUUUUGAAAAUUCACAAAAUUGAAAAAAAUGUUCAUUUCCUAAGGUUAGCUACAAAUUUUGAAAAUUCCAACUUUAGAAAAUAUUCAUGAACCUAGAAAGUAUGGAAAAAGGAAAAUUAAAAAUUAAAGGAAUCGGGAGCAAUCCCGAAAAGGAAAGUUUUUCUUUGAAAAACGUUAGAAACCAGCGUUCCAUUGUGUUUUUCCCCAACAUUCUAAUGCACAGUGUCAAAUAGGAGGGGAUUUCUCGGUGAGAUCGUCCUACCAUGCGGAAUGGGAACACCAACCUGGACGAAAAUUGAGAAGGACAAACUCUAUUGAAGCCUCAAGUACUAGCCCAAUUUGGAGUGUUGUUUGGAAAUUGCAUGUUCUGGCUAAGAUCAAGAUCCAUGUCUGGAGAAGUUUAUUGGGUGCAAUACCUUGCUACAGUGUUCUGACCAAUAGGCACAUGGCCACAAUUCUCAAUGCCCCCUCUGUAUGGCGGACUGCGAGAGCAUCACACACACGUGGUGGCUACAUUCAACGAUGACUAAGGUACUGGAGCUUUGGGUGCUAUUCUUCGCGACUAUAAUGGAUAUUUUUUGGCGAUGUCUUGCAGCCAUAUUCCCUUUGUUGAUGACGCUGCAUUGGCGGAAGCCCGAGGUCUUCGAGAUGGCCUUAUCUUGGCAAGUGAUAUUGGAUGCAAUAACAUAGUGGUCCAAGCUGAUUGCAUGGAGGUAAUUCAGGUGAUGCAAGAUGGUGGCACUCGUUAGGACCAGCAGCAACAAUCUUCGAGGACUACACUUUAUUAUGUCGUAAUUUUAAUUAUGUUAGUUGUUAUCAUUGCCCUAGGGAGGCCAAUAUGGCGGCAAACUUGUUAACUAGUAGAUCGGAGGUUUUCGCAAACCUUGAAUUGGCAAGACGAACCACCUGAUUUUCUAGUGGAUGUACUCCUAACCGAUGUAUCAUUGUUACCGCAUGAAAUAUAAACCGACAUGAUGUGAGUUGGGCGGGAGUACAUGCGUGUGGACGCUAUAGUUGGAAACGGCAUGGAGAUUGUCCAGGAGGGACGAAAUGUUGUCCAUGAAUUGAGCAUCUUGUCAGUGAUGCGUCGGUGAUCCCAUGCCUUGCUGACCCGUAGAUGUGGGACCCAAACAAAUAAAUAUCGCAAUAAAAAGCUCAUUUGCCUUGUUCCAAAUAAAUAACUAUGCAACGAAUAGCAAGUUAGUGUGACGACGACAUAUUACUUCUUCUUUUUUAUGAGAAAUAUAUUACUUCUGUCAUGCGUCAGUGAUAUGAUACUUAAACAGAAGAAUAGUAGAAUGGUACACACUACUAUUCAUCAACCCACGAAGGGGUAAAUAUACAGAGUACAUGGUGGUGACAGCCACAACUAUGUACGGGCAUGCACAACGUGCACCAAGUCGUGGGGCGUGGCAUGCGGUAGCAGAUCAGGUACAAGACGUGGGACUCGGUCCCUGUUACACUAGCAACGGGCAUCUUCCAAUAGCCCCCGCAGUCGCAACGGGAUCAUUGAGGACGUUGAGGCUAGACCGGAAGUCGGGGAAGAUGGGCGUCGGGAGCCCCUUCAUGAAGAUGUCGGCGAACUGUGACGUCGAGGGCACGUGGAGGACCCGAACGUCGCCGAAGGUGACACGCUCACGAACAAAGAGAAGGUCGAUCUCGAUGUGCUUCGUCCGUUGGUGCUGCACAGGGUUGGUGGAGAGGUACAUCAUGCUCACAUUGUCGCAGUAGACGACGGUCGCCGCGGACGGGGGCCGUCGGAGCUCGCGGAGUAGCUGCCGGAGUCAAUACGCCUCAGCCACGUCGUUGGCGACGGCCUUGUACUCCGCCUCGGCGCUGGAGAGCGAGAUAGUCGGUUGACGCUUCGAGGACCAUGAGACAAGGUUGUCGACAACGUAGAUGCAGAAGCCUGAUGUAGACUUGCGUGUGUCGGGACAGCCGGCCCAGUCGGCGUCCGAGUACGCAAUCAACCUGUGGUAGGAGGAGCGCCGAAGAUGAAGACUGAGUUGCAAGGUGCCGCGGAUGUAGCGUAGGAUCCGCUUGAGGACGGUGUAGUGCGGUUCACGCGGGUCGUGCACGAAUAGACAGACCUGCUGAACAGCGUAGGCGAUGUUCGGACGCGUGAGGGUGAGGUACUGGAGAGCUUCCGCUAAGCUGCAAUAGUGAGACGGGUCGGAGAGGGGAGGGCCGUCGGAAGCGGAGAGCUUGGAGCGAGUGUCAAUGGGCGUAGUGGCAGGCUUACAGUUGCUCAUGUGGGUGCGCUCAAGAACCUCUAAGGCAUACUGGUGCUGCGAGAGAAACAACCUGUGUGUGCCACAAGUGACAUUGAUGCCUAAAAAGUAGUGGAGAUCACCAAGGCCAGUCAUGGAAAACUCGCGGUGGAGCUGUGCGAUGAUGUGGCAAAGUACACCACCGAAGACAUCGAUGGUAUGAAUGACGAUGUCGGAGAUGAACAAGGCCAGGACCCGCCGUUUAGCGGACGUUGGACGGCCACCUCCUGAUAUGACGUGUAUAUGGUGGACACACCCAAAGAAGAUGACGGCGACGGCAGGAAGGAUCCGGUCGAGGACGAGCCUGUUGAGGCACCACCAAAGCGUCGACGUCAGUGGCGCCGUUCCAAAUCGCGUCGCGAAAAAGACAGUAAUACCGGCACCGGAGACAAUAACACUCCGGAUAAUGCCAAACACCCCGAAGCCCCCAUCGAGCCAACAUCUGAACAUGACAAUUGGGAGGAGGGGCAAGUCAACCCUGACGAUCCGGUCGGGAACGAGGACUCGGAGGAUAGUAACUAUCUACCACCCUCCGAAGACGACGUGAGCCUCGGUGACGAGGACUUCAUCGUGCCAGAGGAACCACUUGAGCAGGAGCGCUUUAAGCGCUAGCUAAUCGCCACGGCGAGAAGCCUAAAAAGAAGCAAAAAAACUCCAAGCCGAAUAGGAUACACUCAACGACAGAUGGACCCAGGUCCUAGCUACCGAAGAGUAUGGUUUUGAACGCCCACCAAGAAGUUAUCCGAAGCGUCGGUUACUACCACAAUUCGACGAUGAGGCCCUCGAGCCAAUACCGUCAAGACACCACCGCGCUGAUGAACCAGACUGGCCACCGCGUGGACGGGACAGAGCGGCUACUCAGGCUGAACACCAGCCCGCACCACCCCACCUUAGAGGCAGAGAGACAGCGGCUCCAGGAUAUACCUACGACCUACGACAGGACCUGGACAAUAGAGUCGGUCAGACCAGAUCAAUCUAUGUAUCAAGGGGGCAUGCCCCAACGUGAGAGGACGGCCAUCAGGCCUGGCGCGAUAAGCACAACCUCACCCGGGCCAAAAAUCGCAUACGGACGUCAUCCAAACUUUGUCAUGAUGUCGCGCGAUACAGAGGCGCCGCACACCCCUUAUGCUUCACCGAUGAGGUAACGGAGCACCAGUUCCCAGAAGGGUUCAAACCGGUAAACAUUGAAUCAUACGAUGGAACGAUAGAUCCCGCAGUAUGGAUAGAAGAUUUUCUUCUCCAUAUCCACAUGGCUCGCGGUGAUGAUCUCCAUGCCAUCAAGUACCUCCCCCUGAAGCUCAAGGGACCAGCACGACACUAGUUAAAUAGCCUCCCAGAAAACUCUAUUGGUAGCUGGGAAGACUUGGAGGAUGCCUUUAGAGACUACUUCCAAGGCACCUAUGUCCGGCCUUCGGACGCCGACGACCUUAGUCACAUAGUCCAGCAACCCGGAGAGUCAGCCCGGAAGCUCUGGACCAGGUUCUUAAUCAAAAAGAACCAAAUUGUCGAUUGUCUGGACGCCGAAGCCCUCGUGGCCUUUAAACACAGCGUCCGAGACGAGUGGCUUGCCCGACACCUCGGCCAAGAAAAGCCAAAGUCUAUGGCAGCCCUCACUGCACUCAUGACCCGCUUUUGCGCGGGAGAAGAUAGCUGGCUAGCUCGUAGAAGCAACAACACCAGCGACCCCGGCACCUCCGAAGCCAUGGAUGGCAAUAGUAGGCCACAACACAACCAAAAAAAAGCAUCAAAACAACAACGAAAAUACCGAAGAUACGGCGGUCAACGCCGGAUUCAGUGGCUCCAAACCAGGUCUGCAAAAGAAGCCAUUCAAAUGAAACAAGGAUAGCCCAUCUAGUUUGGACAGGAUAUUCGAUCGGCCUUGCCAGAUUCAUGGCUCCCCUGACAAGCCUGCCAAUCACACGAACAGAAAUUGUUGGGUUUUCAAACAGGCCGGUAAGAUAAACACCGAAAAUAAGAGGAAAGGG